UUGGCACAGAGACUGGACAGAGUUGCCAUCUAUGAGGAAUUCCUGUGGCUGACCCAGAAUGGUACCCAGCUGCAGAACUUGACCCUGGACAGGAAGAGUGUCCUUGGGGAUGAAUAUUCUCCCAACAGAGAUGACACCUUGACUGAGAAGCCUGGUAAACCUGCAGGAAGCCCCAGCCCACGGUAGGGGGCGAGUAUCUUGAUGCUGUGCCUCAUCGAAGAGAACCAUGCGCACAGGGUCUUGGAUGAUGAGGAAAGUUGGCCAACCCUUGUCAAGGAUGGUUGAGGCACAGUGGGGUCAGCAGGAGCCCUGGGGCAAUGACAGGAGGUGGCUCAUCCCAGCACUUGUCUCCGCAGACCACCCCGUCUGGGCUCUCAUCCUCAUCUGCUUGGCGGGAAUCCUGGUGCUCAUCACAGGCCUCAUCUGCUGUCUCCUGGAAAACAUUUUAACCCUGCUGUUCCCAUGAUGUCACAAGGACUAGAGUGUUGGGGAGGACUGAGAGCACACUCUUCCUCUGGAGUAUGUUAGACUCUAAGGGUCCAUGACACAGGAGUGGGGAACAUUUCAUUCAUCGAGGAUUGAGCCUCUCGUGCUGGGUGUUGAAAGAAACACCAGUGACGUCCCCGUGUAUUCACGUGGAGUAUCUGACAGUCAGUCAUUGCAGGAUUACAGAAGGAAGGGCAGUUCAGAGGGGAGGCCCCGUGGAGGCAGGCAUGGAGGAGCGCGUGGUGACUGACACCGAGAGCUUGUGACCCGGACAGGUGGCAGACUCUG
Long non-coding RNA from Diceros bicornis minor, 774 nucleotides. RefSeq lists it as uncharacterized. NCBI's taxonomy places the organism in Eukaryota, Metazoa, Chordata, Mammalia, Perissodactyla, Rhinocerotidae. The record is from RefSeq and is a predicted model, not a curated record. The transcript is spliced from 3 exons.